AGAGUUUGAUCAUGGCUCAGGAUGAACGCUGGCGGCGUGCUUAACACAUGCAAGUCGAACGGACAUAAAGGGGCUUGCCCCUUUAUGUUAGUGGCGGACGGGUGAGUAACGCGUGAGCAACCUGCCCAUAUCAGGGGAAUAACACAGUGAAAAUUGUGCUAAUACCGCAUAAUGCAGUUGGGCCGCAUGGCUCUGACUGCCAAAGAUUUAUCGCUCUGAGAUGGCCUCGCGUCUGAUUAGCUAGUAGGCGGGGUAACGGCCCACCUAGGCGACGAUCAGUAGCCGCGG
This 288-nucleotide ribosomal RNA is filed under the name uncultured bacterium. Its description in RNAcentral is "partial 16S ribosomal RNA". It matches the Rfam family "Bacterial small subunit ribosomal RNA", at positions 8 to 292 of the family's 1533-position model. The record is from RNAcentral.